AGUUUUUGUUUGUCUCAUAGCUUGUACAUUGAGCAGAGAUCUUACUAUUACGCUCUUGAACUUGAUACUGAUAAAACAUAGCAAUUCAAAGGCUAAUGUGUGUAGAGUUUUCAGCAAUAUAAGAAGAAAUUAGCAUUCUACAUCUGUCAAAUCUGGCAAAUAAGUAAUCAUGAUUGAUCUCUUUCUUUUCUGUUUUACAGAGGAGUUUGUUUACUUUUCUUCAAAUCGGCAUCAUUGCAAACCAAAGUUUAUGAGAAUCAAAGAAUAUGUGUUUAUACCAUGAAUAUGUGUUUUUGAAAAUGAAAAUGUGAUAUAUAUAUAUGGUAGCGACUUGUGAGUGUUUCAUCACUGAUUUAUCAUAGCAUAUCAAACCUCUAGGUAAUGUUUACAUCCUAUUUUUAUACUACUGUUUCACCUUGUAAUUUUUUUUGUUAGGGAAGUCUUGUCUAUUAGGCGACCAACAACUCUCUAACCCUCAUUCAGUGAGAAGAAAAUGGGAGAUUUUUGGCAAUGUUGGGUACCCAGUCUUCAACAUUAAAGUGUUGACUUUGCUCUUCUCCAAGACUCCAGGAUGGUGCAUGUAUGCAAGAAUUACAAGCUACUUUAAAUAUGUGAAGAUUUACAGGGUUUUUGGCACAUAAUAGUAGAUAGGUUUUAAGAAAUAGAGUUAUAGGACCGUGAUUGCAUGAUUUAUUUU
Molecule: long non-coding RNA, 697 nt
Organism: Spinacia oleracea (spinach)
Lineage: Eukaryota; Viridiplantae; Streptophyta; Magnoliopsida; Caryophyllales; Amaranthaceae
Exons: 3
Source: RefSeq, a predicted model, not a curated record